RNAcentral lists this transfer RNA (81 nucleotides) under Fusarium equiseti. RNAcentral describes it as "tRNA-Arg". The stretch from base 7 to 73 matches the Rfam family "tRNA", at positions 7 to 64 of the family's 71-position model. Rfam says of the family: Transfer RNA (tRNA) molecules are approximately 80 nucleotides in length. Lineage: Eukaryota; Fungi; Ascomycota; Sordariomycetes; Hypocreales; Nectriaceae. The record is from RNAcentral.
GCCUUUGUGGCGUAAUGGCUAACGCGUCUGACUUCUAAUCAGAAGAUUGCGGGUUGUACGUUCAAAUCCCAUCUUGAUGUA